This 771-nucleotide ribosomal RNA is filed under the name uncultured bacterium. RNAcentral describes it as "bacterial SSU rRNA". It matches the Rfam family "Bacterial small subunit ribosomal RNA", at positions 8 to 796 of the family's 1533-position model. The record is from RNAcentral.
AGAGUUUGAUCCUGGCUCAGGACGAACGCUGGCGGCGUGCUUAACACAUGCAAGUUGAACGAUGAAGCUCUUCGGGGUGGAUUAGUGGCGAACGGGUGAGUAACACGUGGGUAACCUGCCCUUGGCUUUGGGAUAAGCCCUGGAAACGGGGUCUAAUACCGGAUAUGACCUGGUAGCGCAUGCUGCUGGGUGGAAAGUUCCGGCGGCUGAGGAUGGGCCCGCGGCCUAUCAGCUUGUUGGUGGGGUGAUGGCCUACCAAGGCGACGACGGGUAGCCGGCCUGAGAGGGCGACCGGCCACACUGGGACUGAGACACGGCCCAGACUCCUACGGGAGGCAGCAGUGGGGAAUAUUGCACAAUGGGCGAAAGCCUGAUGCAGCGACGCCGCGUGAGGGAUGACGGCCUUCGGGUUGUAAACCUCUUUCGCCCAGGACGAAGCGAGAGUGACGGUACUGGGAGAAGAAGCACCGGCUAACUACGUGCCAGCAGCCGCGGUAAUACGUAGGGUGCGAGCGUUGUCCGGAAUUAUUGGGCGUAAAGAGCUCGUAGGCGGUUUGUCGCGUCGACUGUGAAAACCUGGGGCUUAACUCUGGGCCUGCAGUCGAUACGGGCAGACUUGAGUUCGGUAGGGGAGACUGGAAUUCCUGGUGUAGCGGUGAAAUGCGCAGAUAUCAGGAGGAACACCGGUGGCGAAGGCGGGUCUCUGGGCCGAUACUGACGCUGAGGAGCGAAAGCGUGGGGAGCGAACAGGAUUAGAUACCCUAGUAGUCC